CUACGGGGGGCUGCAGUAAGGAAUAUUGCGCAAUGGAGGCAACUCUGACGCAGCCAUGCCGCGUGCAGGACUGAAGGCCUUAUGGGUCGUAAACUGCUUUUAUUUAGGAAUAAACUUUCGUACGUGUACGAGACUGAAGGUACUAAAUGAAUAAGCACCGGCUAACUCCGUGCCAGCAGCCGCGGUAAUACGGAGGGUGCAAGCGUUAUCCGGAUUUAUUGGGUUUAAAGGGUGCGCAGGCGGACUAUUAAGUCAGAGGUGAAAUCCCGGAGCUCAACUUCGGACCUGCCUUUGAUACUGGUAGUCUUGAAUACGGUUGAAGUAGGCGGAAUGUAGCAUGUAGCGGUGACAUGCAUAGAGAUGCUACAGAACACCGAUCGCGAAGGCAGCUUACUAAGCCGAUAUUGACGCUCAGGCACGAAAGCAUGGGGAGCGAACAGGAUUAGAUACCCCUGUAGUC
This 460-nucleotide ribosomal RNA is filed under the name uncultured bacterium. Its description in RNAcentral is "partial 16S ribosomal RNA". It matches the Rfam family "Bacterial small subunit ribosomal RNA", at positions 339 to 795 of the family's 1533-position model. The record is from RNAcentral.